Molecule: ribosomal RNA, 490 nt
Filed under: uncultured bacterium
Lineage: Bacteria
Description: partial 16S ribosomal RNA
Rfam family: Bacterial small subunit ribosomal RNA
Source: RNAcentral
AUUGAACGCUGGCGGCAGGCCUAACACAUGCAAGUCGAACGGUAACAGGAAACAGCUUGCUGUUUCGCUGACGAGUGGCGGACGGGUGAGUAAUGUCUGGGAAACUGCCUGAUGGAGGGGGAUAACUACUGGAAACGGUAGCUAAUACCGCAUAACGUCGCAAGACCAAAGAGGGGGACCCUCGGGCCUCUUGCCAUCGGAUGUGCCCAGAUGGGAUUAGCUUGUUGGUGGGGUAACGGCUCACCAAGGCGACGAUCCCUAGCUGGUCUGAGAGGAUGACCAGCCACACGGGAACUGAGACACGGUCCAGACUCCUACGGGAGGCAGCAGUGGGGAAUAUUGCACAAUGGGCGCAAGCCUGAUGCAGCCAUGCCGCGUGUAUGAAGAAGGCCUUCGGGUUGUAAAGUACUUUCAGCGGGGAGGAAGGGAGUAAAGUUAAUACCUUUGCUCAUUGACGUUACCCGCAGAAGAAGCACCGGCUAACUCCGUG